UUGAACACGUUCUUUGCUUAAUCGAACGAAUUUUGUAAACCUGGUAAUCGCUUGUAUAAUCAGUUUUGCACCAGUCAAGCAAGAAACAUUUGAAUGAAUAUAAUUUAGUAACCUGUGAUAGAUAUAACAAACGAAGUUGCCUAACCAGUGGAUCAAUCAUCCUUAAUUAAUCACUUUUCUAUUAAUUGAUUUUCGUUUCUCUAACCAACAAUUAAAACCCCAUAAUUUCAUUGUGUUAUUUAUCAUUCUUAUUUUUCCUAAUUAUUAAAUCAGAGGUCCUUGUGAGACGACCAAGGUUUUAAUUACCUUGUUACUACGUUUUAUACUUAUAAUACUUAUUUUUGACCGCGCACGACAGCGAUCAAAUUGGCGCCGUUGCCGGGGAUCUCUGAUUAGAAUUAGUAAAAUUAAGAAUCAACUAACAUCACUAACAUUUGUUUUGAGUUUUUGCUGUGUUACAGGUUCUGACGUUGAAUUUUGCAUUGAAGUUGAAAAAAUAACCUGUUUUCGGUCAACUGCUCAGAUUGGCUCGAAAUUUGGUCAAAAAAUCAGAAACAAAUCGAUGAAUAAUACUUUCGUAUUAAAGAUACGAAAAUUCAGGCUGAAAAUCCAGAAUUCCUUCGUUUAUACCACUUUUUAUUUUUUUUUAAUUUUCCAUAUAUUUAAAAAAAAAUCCGAAAAAAGUAUAUUUAGAUUUGUUUGAUUUUUAGAGAUUUAAGGUGGUAUUUUUAUCUUUUUUAGAUUUUAUUUGACACAGUUUUUAAUUUUUCUCUUCAUAUUUUUUUUAACCAAAAAAAAAAACCUAAAUAAAAAAAUUACAAACAUGGCUAUUCCUCCUAAGCCACCGAAUUUUGUACUAUUAUACAAGUUCACGUGCUAUUUGCUUUUUCUUGUUUCAUGUGUUCGUAGUGCAGCAAGGCCUCCACCUAAACCACCAGACAGAGAAGCUACAGUUGUUACACCUUAAUCCUCGGGUGUGUUCCUUCCUUAUUCUCGCUUUAUGCUUAUUGUUACAUUGCGGACAAUGUCUGAUUUAAGCGUGGGGGCAACAUUUAGUUAUUUUAUUUUUCUGUCAAUUAAAAAAAAUUAUAAAAAUAAAUUUAGCAUGCAUGAAAUUGUUAUGAGUAGUUACAUGUUUUAGGACUAGAGCAAUAUAGCUGUAGGAUUGGUGAAAUUUUUGGAAAUUCUCUUUUUCAUGCUUGAUAUGAUGAUCUUUGCACCUUAAUGCACAACUGCUGAAAAACUUGCAAACUUAGUAGUGGCUUGAUAAAUCUUUANNNNNNNNNNNNNNNNNNNNNNNNNNNNNNNNNCGGUCAUUAUCCUAAGUUGUUUGAGUAUAGAAUACGAUAAAGAGGUAUGAUUAGGACUAAGUUUGGGGGAAAACUGGAUUACUUGAUUGUAGGAUCAUGGCUAGAUUAAAUGAUGGGAUACUACACAAUAAAANNNNNNNNNNNNNNNNNNNNNNNNNNNNNNNNNNNNNNNNNNNNNNNNNCUGUGCCCGAAACUGGAGGAACAAUAAUAUGAAUAUGUUGAGUUGAUGUGUCUAAAACUGGAGGAACAAAUGCUGUGUAGGGUGCUCUAUUCGGAGUAACAGGUUGGACUCAUUACAAGUGAGAUCCCGUCAGGUGAACAGAUAGAGUAGCACCUAAAGCAUAACUAAAAUGAACUUAAGUAGUAUCCCUGCGUAUAAAAAUCAAAAAGCCUGUGAGAACAAGAAAAGAAUAGCUUCCCCUCAAGCUGAAAUCUAAACUCAAACUAUAAGUUGUAGGAAAGAAAAGGUAGCUUAGUAUCUUGACUGUGUAGUAUUUGAGAAGGAUCAUGUCAUGACUCUGGUUGACAGUAAUAGGCAGUACACACACACGCUUGAUUAUCAUUGAUGGUUGAUAUACAAGAAUUAUGCCAAUCUUUGAAAUACAAUUCAUGGUUUGAGCUUGAAUCUUAGAAUGUGUUGAUUGCUUAUGACGUUGUAUCAUGCUUUGUUAUCUCUUCAAAAAAAAAUAAUAAUAAUUUACUUUAGUCUUUAAACUUGAGUUUUGCUCAGGAGAGCAAAAGAAUAAGUGUGGGAGAAUUUGAUCAGUGCAUUUUGGCACAUAUUUUAUGGCUUUGUACUUUGACAUAUUGCAAGCUUUUAUAGCCUAAUAUUAACUUUUUAUCAUGUUUCUAAACUUUGGGUCAUAAUUGGGCUCUAAUGUAUUUCUUUGAUUAAUUUUCGGAUUUAAUUGCAUGUUGAUCCUUCUCAGUCAGCAGGUCAUAACUUGAGCUACGAAUAUUGGAUUGAGGUGUGCAAAUAUGCGUUGGAAAGAUAAGAGAAAGAGAUACAACCUUCAUGUUAAGGCCAGAACCCAGUUCGGAGAGCAAAGCAGUCAUAUAUUUACAUUUAUGUUCCAGACUUUAUGAAAAUAAUGUAAUUUCGGGUCAAACUUAUGUUUUUCGGCCCGUAGCUUUUUAAGCCCAAUUUUCUCUGAGUAUUUAAGCAAAAACACAGCUAGGGUUUCAUCAAUUCUGAAUUUACGAAAUAGAAAAGAACAGAGGCUGCUUUGCUCUAAUGGAAGCCUAAAAACCCUUGGUUGGUUCAUUGGUGACGGAAACUCGUUUGCAAAUUCAUGAGGUUCGGAUUCUAAUAAUAAUUUCAUUCAUAUGUCUAUUGCUUCUUUAUGUCAGUUUCAUGUUUCUUUGAUUAUUCUAUGCAUGAAUUCGUUUGAUGCUUAAUCUUCUCGAGUUUAUGUUUUCAUAAUUAUUCGAAUCAAUUCAACGCUUGUUUGAAUUUAUUCGAAUAGAAACUGAUAUAAUCUAUGGCGCUUAGCAAUAGGGCUGGCCAGAUUUUGUUAGGAUAUUAGUCGCGUUGUUAGUGACGCUUGUUCACUUCCCUCGAUUGGUUGAACACGUUCUUUGCUUAAUCGAACGAAUUUUGUAAACCUGGUAAUCGCUUGUAUAAUCAGUUUUGCACCAGUCAAGCAAGAAACAUUUGAAUGAAUAUAAUUUAGUAACCUGUGAUGGAUAUAACAAACGAAGUUGCCUAUCCAGUGGAUCAAUCAUCCUUAAUUAAUCACUUUUCUAUUAAUUGAUUUUCGUUUCUCUAACAAACAAUUAAAACCCCAUAAUUUCAUUGUGUUAUUUAUCAUUCUUAUUUUUCCUAAUUAUUAAAUCAGAGGUCCUUGUGAGACGACCAAGGUUUAAUUACCUUGUUAAUACGUUUUAUACUUAUAAUACUUAUUUUUGACCGCGCAUGACAGCGAUCACACAUUUACAUUUGUGUACGAUACACCUUGGUUCAAGACCCCGGCGACAAUACAUAUCUCGACAUUCAACGUCUCUGUUACAUCUAUUAUUACGCCCUGUAUUGAAAAAAGAGAUGAAAAUAAUAUAACUGAAAUGAGACAUUACAUUCGGUAAUAAGUUAAGAAGAAAAUUUUAAAAGACAAAAACCGACUUACAAUCUAUGUUUGUUGAAACAAGAAAUGCAGAAAGAAUGAAAAUCAUAACAAACUUGACAAUUUCACACAUAUUUUCUCCUUUUACAUGUAAUAGUUUUAUCACUUUAUUAUGUAUAAAUAUCGUUAUGCUUUAAAAAUAAAUAUUAUAAAUAUCAUUAAUCUCGUUACAUCAAUUAAAU
RNAcentral lists this long non-coding RNA (3613 nucleotides) under Trifolium pratense (red clover). Its description in RNAcentral is "long non-coding RNA (TPRA_LNC010954)". Lineage: Eukaryota; Viridiplantae; Streptophyta; Magnoliopsida; Fabales; Fabaceae. The record is from RNAcentral.